This 526-nucleotide ribosomal RNA is filed under the name uncultured bacterium. RNAcentral's name for it is "partial 16S ribosomal RNA". It matches the Rfam family "Bacterial small subunit ribosomal RNA", at positions 355 to 872 of the family's 1533-position model. The record is from RNAcentral.
UAGGGAAUCUUCGGCAAUGGGGGCAACCCUGACCGAGCAACGCCGCGUGAGUGAAGAAGGUUUUCGGAUCGUAAAGCUCUGUUGUAAGUCAAGAACGGGUGUGAGAGUGGAAAGUUCACACUGUGACGGUAGCUUACCAGAAAGGGACGGCUAACUACGUGCCAGCAGCCGCGGUAAUACGUAGGUCCCGAGCGUUGUCCGGAUUUAUUGGGCGUAAAGCGAGCGCAGGCGGUUUGAUAAGUCUGAAGUUAAAGGCUGUGGCUCAACCAUAGUUCGCUUUGGAAACUGUCAAACUUGAGUGCAGAAGGGGAGAGUGGAAUUCCAUGUGUAGCGGUGAAAUGCGUAGAUAUAUGGAGGAACACCGGUGGCGAAAGCGGCUCUCUGGUCUGUAACUGACGCUGAGGCUCGAAAGCGUGGGGAGCGAACAGGAUUAGAUACCCUGGUAGUCCACGCCGUAAACGAUGAGUGCUAGGUGUUGGAUCCUUUCCGGGAUUCAGUGCCGCAGCUAACGCAUUAAGCACUCCGC